RNAcentral lists this ribosomal RNA (913 nucleotides) under Sphaerellopsis filum. RNAcentral's name for it is "LSU rRNA". It matches the Rfam family "Eukaryotic large subunit ribosomal RNA", at positions 38 to 966 of the family's 3401-position model. The record is from RNAcentral. Lineage: Eukaryota; Fungi; Ascomycota; Dothideomycetes; Pleosporales; Leptosphaeriaceae.
GCAUAUCAAUAAGCGGAGGAAAAGAAACCAACAGGGAUUGCCCUAGUAACGGCGAGUGAAGCGGCAACAGCUCAAAUUUGAAAUCUGGCUCUUUCAGGGUCCGAGUUGUAAUUUGCAGAGGGCGCUUUGGUGUUGGCAGCGGUCCAAGUUCCUUGGAACAGGACGUCACAGAGGGUGAGAAUCCCGUACGUGGUCGCUAGCCUCCGCCGUGUAAAGCCCCUUCGACGAGUCGAGUUGUUUGGGAAUGCAGCUCUAAAUGGGAGGUAAAUUUCUUCUAAAGCUAAAUACUGGCCAGAGACCGAUAGCGCACAAGUAGAGUGAUCGAAAGAUGAAAAGCACUUUGGAAAGAGAGUCAAAUAGCACGUGAAAUUGUUGAAAGGGAAGCGCUUGCAGCCAGACUUGCCUGUAGUUGCUCAUCCGGGCUUUUGCCCGGUGCACUCUUCUAUAGGCAGGCCAGCAUCAGUUUGGGCGGUUGGAUAAAGGUCUCUGUCAUGUACCUCUCUUCGGGGAGGCCUUAUAGGGGAGACGACAUGCAACCAGCCUGGACUGAGGUCCGCGCAUUUGCUAGGAUGCUGGCGUAAUGGCUGUAAGCGGCCCGUCUUGAAACACGGACCAAGGAGUCUAACAUCUAUGCGAGUGUUUGGGUGUCAAGCCCGAACGCGUAAUGAAAGUGAACGGAGGUGGGAACCCCUUUGGGGCGCACCAUCGACCGAUCCUGAUGUCUUCGGAAGGAUUUGAGUAAGAGCAUGGCUGUUGGGACCCGAAAGAUGGUGAACUAUGCUUGAAUAGGGUGAAGCCAGAGGAAACUACUGGUGGAGGCUCGCAGCGGUUCUGACGUGCAAAUCGAUCGUCAAAUUUGGGCAUAGGGGGCGAAAGACUAAUCGAACUAUCUAGUAGCUGGUUCCUGCCGAAG